Long non-coding RNA from Scophthalmus maximus (turbot), 1787 nucleotides. RefSeq lists it as uncharacterized. Lineage: Eukaryota; Metazoa; Chordata; Actinopteri; Pleuronectiformes; Scophthalmidae. The record is from RefSeq and is a predicted model, not a curated record. The transcript is spliced from 7 exons.
UGUGUUCCUGAUCAGAUAUUUCUCAUCAUAUCAGAAAUCUGCUCGGCACAUCUCCACACUCGGAUUGUACUGUGUUUGAUCCCAAACACCUUUUUUUCCCCCUCAAUGUUUCAACAAAAAACUUACACCUGUGUUUUAUGACAGACACGAUUGACUUGAUAUUACUACGGACACAAAGUUGUGCAUAUGUGCCCGUUAUGGGAGUUCGAUCCAGAUAAAAAUCUGAUUCUGGCGGAGGAUCACUUUUUGGCACCACACCUGUGCCGGCCCUCGCAAAAUGAAGCAAGGCCCCGCCCCUCGUGUCAAAGCCGACUUCUGCUGCACAUGCGGGGGUUUUGCUGAGGCAGAGGAAAGUACUGGAGUUUUUAAGGGCACGGCAGAGUGAGUGAGGACUGAGCCAGUCGCAGCAGCUGCCCUGGAGAUGUCUCAGAUGAUAAUCAUCCGCACUCAUGUUGUUGACUCAGAGUUUCGGGGCUUGGCAGGUGAUUUGUGCAACCACAAGCCCAUUCACAGAGUAAACAGCGCAUGAUGCCACGCCAGCGCGAGUGCUGCUGCCUCCCACCUGGUUCUUGUGCGACUGAUUCACCGGCCGUGCACCUGGUUUUUGCUUUUGUGGAGGCAGAUUUAUGAAUGCAGCUCUGUGUGCGCGGGGGACAGGGAGCGAGGUCUGAUUAUCACAGCAAACAUGUCAGCGCCGAGACAGGAGCGCAUCAUGGAAAGUGUCAGCGGCACAUCAUCCACGGGCAUCUGACUCCGAGUGUGUGUGUUUCUGUGUGUGUGUGAGGGGGUAAACGGUUCGAGGGGCUGAAGGAAAGUGACACAUUAUGCAGAUAAGAUAGUGAACAAGUUCAAGAAAAAAAAGAAAAGAGGGGGCGGGGGCGGGGGGGGGGGGUGGCUGAUGAGUCACCAGUGUUGUUGGUAUGUAUGACAGGACACAGCAUCAGCCCAGUCAUGUCUCCAUCAUCCCGUCUCUCUCACUCUCUCUGACUGCCUCUCUUCCAGGCGUUAAUCUGGGCUCCCAUGACGAGCAUGUGAUAUCAAGCCCCAGGCUGUGUGACGGAGUGAAGGAUUGGCUGUAAUACUGGAGCACGCACGAUGAUAAUUGCUAGGUCAACAGCACCCCCACCCCCCUACCCCCCACACCCCUACCACUUCUUUUUUAACAGUAGAGCCUCCUGCGGCCUGCUGUGCCUCCACAACAACAACAACAACAACAACAACAACAACAUCAACAUGAGUAAAGCUGCCACCAGUCCAAUUAGACGUGAGACUGCGACAUGCAGUGUAAGAUCUGGCAGCCAAUCGGAAGAUGCGCUUGGGCACAGGCCAUCUCAGCAGGAUCAAGAUUGACUUUACGGGGGCAGUUUUUGUCACAGGCCAUGGAAAAACCAUUUUGGGAGCAGAGAGGAAGCGCUGAAGAGGAGUUUGUGGCCCGGUCGAUGAUGCGCAGAGGUCGUGAUUUUGGCAGCUGCUAAUAAGAGGAUGCAGGCGGGCGGCGGCGGUGGCGCCGGCAUGGCGGUGACUCAUCGAGUGAUGCCCGACCCCCACAGUCAGACAAAAUGGAUGCUGGCUAAAUGAAAAGGUGAUGACGUCAGGUGGAAAUUUGCGCGGACCAAUGAGGAGGAGCGCACAGCUGGUGCAGUUGGCUGUAGGUGUGUGUUAGUGUGUGUGAGACAUUUAUCAGGUGUGUUUAGUGAACGAACUAGAGUGCAAGUUGGAAGGAUGUGUCAAAAGGCAAGGUAACUGCCAUCAAAUGGAAUGAAAUAAGCGUUUAAGGCUCAGCUGUC